This 90-nucleotide small nucleolar RNA is filed under the name Capsicum annuum. Its description in RNAcentral is "Small nucleolar RNA snoR26". It matches the Rfam family "Small nucleolar RNA snoR26". Lineage: Eukaryota; Viridiplantae; Streptophyta; Magnoliopsida; Solanales; Solanaceae. The record is from Rfam by way of RNAcentral.
AAGGCAUCAAUGAUGAAUAAUACAAUUCGUUAUCCUUGCACUUUGAUUAUUAAAUGAAGAUAAUCAUGGGAAAUAUUAUCUGAGAUGCUU